RNAcentral lists this ribosomal RNA (880 nucleotides) under uncultured bacterium. RNAcentral's name for it is "bacterial SSU rRNA". It matches the Rfam family "Bacterial small subunit ribosomal RNA", at positions 27 to 916 of the family's 1533-position model. The record is from RNAcentral.
GGAUGAACGCUGGCGGCGUGCUUAAUACAUGCAAGUCGAACGAAGAGCUUUUGUAGCAAUACGGGAGCUUCUUAGUGGCGAACGGGUGCGUAACACGUUGGUGACCUGCCCCGAAGUGUGGGAUAACAGUUCGAAAGGAUUGCUAAUACCACAUGUGGCUAUCAGUUUUAGAAUCUGAUAAUUAAAGCAGUAAUGCGCUUCGGGAGGGACCUGCGUCCCAUCAGCUAGUUGGUGAGGUAAUGGCUCACCAAGGCUACGACGGGUAGGGGACCUGAGAGGGUGGUCCCCCACACUGGCACUGAAACACGGGCCAGACACCUACGGGUGGCAGCAGUAGGGAAUAUUGGGCAAUGGGCGAAGGCCUGACCCAGCAACGCCGCGUGCACGAUGAAGGUCUUCGGAUCGUAAAGUGCUUUUCUGAGAGAUGAGAAAGGACAGUAUCUCAGGAAUAAGUCUCGGCUAACUACGUGCCAGCAGCCGCGGUAACACGUAGGAGGCAAGCGUUAUCCGGAUUUAUUGGGCGUAAAGCGCGUGCAGGUGGUUCGGUAAGUUGGAUGUGAAAGCUCCUGGCUCAACUGGGAGAGGUCGUUCAAUACUACCGGGCUUGAGAGCAGUAGAGGGAGGUGGAAUUCCCGGUGUAGUGGUGAAAUGCGUAGAUAUCGGGAGGAACACCAGUGGCGAAAGCGGCCUCCUGGACUGUUUCUGACACUCAGACGCGAAAGCUAGGGUAGCAAACGGGAUUAGAGACCCCGGUAGUCCUAGCUGUAAACGAUGUGAACUUGGCGUCGGCGGGUUCAAAGCCGUCGGUGCCGAAGCCAACGCGAUAAGUUCACCGCCUGGGGACUACGGCCGCAAGGUUAAAACUCAAAUGAAUUGACGG